GACGUAGGGCGCGAGCGUUGUCCGGAUUUAUUGGGCGUAAAGAGCUCGUAGGCGGUUUGUCACGUCUGCUGUGAAAUCCCGAGGCUCAACCUCGGGCCUGCAGUGGGUACGGGCAGACUGGAGUGCGGUAGGGGAGAAUGGAAUUCCUGGUGUAGCGGUGGAAUGCGCAGAUAUCAGGAGGAACACCGAUGGCGAAGGCAGUUCUCUGGGCCGUAACUGACGCUGAGGAGCGAAAGCGUGGGGAGCGAACAGG
Molecule: ribosomal RNA, 253 nt
Filed under: uncultured bacterium
Lineage: Bacteria
Description: partial 16S ribosomal RNA
Rfam family: Bacterial small subunit ribosomal RNA
Source: RNAcentral